GAUGAAGAACGCAGCGAAAUGCGAUAAGUAAUGUGAAUUGCAGAAUUCAGUGAACCAUCGAAUCUUUGAACGCACAUUGCGCCCGGCAGUAAUCUGCUGGGCAUGCCUGUCCGAGCGUCAUUUCUGCCCUCGAGCGAGUCCAGCAUCUAGGUGCUGGGCCCGCCCGGCGUUGGGGCACUACGGGGAGCCCUGUGCUGUCCCCCGUAGGCCCCGAAAUGAAGUGGCGGUCCUGCCGCGGCGCCCCCUGCGUAGUAUAACAGCUCGCUUCGGGACCCGGUGGAGGCCUGCCGUCAAACCUUACUCUCUAAGUUUGACCUCGGAUCAGGUAGGGUUACCCGCUGAACUUAAGCAUAUCAAUAAGCGGAGGA
Molecule: unclassified non-coding RNA, 368 nt
Filed under: soil metagenome
Description: partial contains 5.8S ribosomal RNA, internal transcribed spacer 2, and large subunit ribosomal RNA
Rfam family: 5.8S ribosomal RNA (bases 1-120)
Source: RNAcentral